GUACCUUCAAGCUCUGCUUGGUGUUGGGUGUUUUGUCCUCUCCAUUGCGUUUGGACUCGCCUUAAAGCAAUUGGCAGCCAGUGUAUUGGUUUUAAGCGCAGCACAUCUUGCGUCUUUUUUCCUAUCACACUCGCGUCCAUUAAGCCUUUUUAUCAC
This 156-nucleotide unclassified non-coding RNA is filed under the name Ophiosphaerella agrostidis. RNAcentral's name for it is "sequence contains ITS2". The record is from RNAcentral. RNAcentral also lists the same sequence under 2 other names. Lineage: Eukaryota; Fungi; Ascomycota; Dothideomycetes; Pleosporales; Phaeosphaeriaceae.